RNAcentral lists this microRNA precursor (195 nucleotides) under Oryza barthii. RNAcentral's name for it is "MIR1435 microRNA precursor family". It matches the Rfam family "MIR1435 microRNA precursor family". The record is from Rfam by way of RNAcentral. Lineage: Eukaryota; Viridiplantae; Streptophyta; Magnoliopsida; Poales; Poaceae.
UGACUUUGGUUAAAGUCAAACUGCUUCAAGUUUGAUCAGUUUGCAGAAAAAAGAAGUAACAUUAACCAAGACAAAUUUAUUAAGAAAACAUAUUCAAUUAUUGAUUUGAUGAAACUAAUUUGGUUUUGUAAAUAUUACUAUAUUUAUCUAUAAAUUUAAUCAAACUUAAAAUAGUUUGACUUUGACCAAAAUCAA